This 900-nucleotide small RNA is filed under the name Rattus norvegicus (Norway rat). RNAcentral's name for it is "uncharacterized LOC108348755". Lineage: Eukaryota; Metazoa; Chordata; Mammalia; Rodentia; Muridae. The record is from RNAcentral.
UCUGUGGUCACUUGGUUACUCUGGCUCCGGUUGUGUAGGAGAACAUGGUUGGAAGCUGAAGUGUGUGACAGGAAGUCAAAGCUAGAGGCGAGCUGCUCUGUUCAAAAUGUACCAUGAAAAUUCACACGCCCUUGGAUGUGCUUACUGGGUACCACAGACCUCGAGAAUAGGACUGGCCUCCCUGUUGUGUGGCUGGUGCUUGAGGCUGGUGCUGGGGGAUCUAACCCUUGGCCUCACAUGACCUGGGCAUGAGAUCUUCCACCUGACACACCCAGUCCCAUGGAACUCCAUCACCUCUGUCACUGCCUUGACAGAGCGCCUGACAGGCAAGUGAAGGCAGCCAGUCAUACUGCAUCUGCCCUCAGGAAGCAGAAUGAGGAGCCAUUGCUCAGCUCACUUUCGACUUUUGUAAGUCCAGGACCACAGCCCAUGGAGUUCUACCAUCCAGUUUGAAGGUAUUGGACCCCCUAGAAUUGGAGUCACAGUUGUGAGUUGCCAUAUAAACACUGGGAAUUCAGCCUGGGUCCUCGGGAAGAGCAGCCACUGCUUAACCACUGAGACAUCUCUCCAGCCCCAGUGAUGUUCAGUCUUCAUCGUCGGUGCUACUGGAUCUAUAACCACCUGGCAGAAACACUCUAGGCAUUGAAGGCAAUUCCAGAGAGGUUGGACAGAGAGAUGAGAACCACCCUGAGAUGGGUGGCCUCAUCCCACGGGCUCGGAACCCAUGAGAGUGAACAAAAGGAAUGGAGAAGGUAAACCAAGGUGAACUAUCCAUGUCUCUGCUUCCACAACCCAGAUGCAAUGUCACCAGUCACCUCACACGUCCACAGCCAUGCUUUCCCUGCUAGGAUCAACCGUUAGCCCCUCAACCCCGAGCCAUGAUAAACUCUUUCUUACUUU